AAGUCGUAACAAGGUUUCCGUAGGUGAACCUGCGGAAGGAUCAUUAAUGAAAUGAUUUUUUUUCGGGGUUUUCCCUGAAAAAUAAUUCACCUUUUGUGCAUUGUUAUUAGAUAUACUUUGGUUAGAGCUUUGAUUUCAUUUAAUGGAAUCAACUUCUUGCUGACUCUAUCCUUUCUGAGGACAGUUGGCUAUGAAGCGGCCUACCAAGGUUUUUUAUCAAACACAUUUAAUUUAUCUGACCUAAACUAUUAUAAUAAAAUCAUAACUUUCAACAACGGAUCUCUUGGCUCUC
This 292-nucleotide unclassified non-coding RNA is filed under the name fungal sp. RNAcentral's name for it is "partial internal transcribed spacer region". The stretch from base 1 to 46 matches the Rfam family "Eukaryotic small subunit ribosomal RNA", at positions 1786 to 1831 of the family's 1831-position model. Lineage: Eukaryota; Fungi. The record is from RNAcentral.